UGAACGCUGGCGGCGUGCCUAACACAUGCAAGUCGAACGAAGCAUCUUGCCCGACAAGCGGAGUGCUUGCACAAAGCGAGUCAAUUAAGAUGACUUAGUGGCGGACGGGUGAGUAACGCGUGGGUAACCUGCCCUAUACAGGGGGAUAACAGUUAGAAAUGACUGCUAAUACCGCAUAAGCGCACAGUAUCGCAUGAUACAGUGUGAAAAGCCGAGACGGUAUAGGAUGGACCCGCGUCUGAUUAGCCAGUUGGGCAGGGUAACGGCCUACCAAAGCAACGAUCAGUAGCCGGCCUGAGAGGGUGAACGGCCACAUUGGGACUGAGACACGGCCCAAACUCCUACGGGAGGCAGCAGUGGGGGAUAUUGCACAAUGGGGGAAACCCUGAUGCAGCGAACCGCCGCGUGAGCGAUGAAGUAUUUCGGUAUGUAAAGCUCUAUCAGCAGGGAAGAAAAUGACGGUACCUGACUAAGAAGCUCCGGCUAAAUACGUGCCAGCAGCCGC
This 505-nucleotide ribosomal RNA is filed under the name uncultured bacterium. Its description in RNAcentral is "bacterial SSU rRNA". It matches the Rfam family "Bacterial small subunit ribosomal RNA", at positions 30 to 518 of the family's 1533-position model. The record is from RNAcentral.